RNAcentral lists this unclassified non-coding RNA (287 nucleotides) under Hevea brasiliensis (rubber tree). The record is from RNAcentral. Lineage: Eukaryota; Viridiplantae; Streptophyta; Magnoliopsida; Malpighiales; Euphorbiaceae.
GGAAGAAAACCAAUAGAAGAAGCCUAUGGAGAAGGAAAAGACUUGGUCUACUGGACCUCAACUCAUCUAAAUGACAAGGAAAGCAUUAACAAAGUUCUUGAUCAAAAGGUGGUAUCUGACCUUGUUCAAGAUGAAAUGAUCAAAGUGUUGAGAAUUGCCACACUUUGUACUACUAAGCUUCCUAAUUUGCGUCCCAGCAUGAAAGAGGUUGUCAAUAUGCUCGUCGAUGCUGAACCCUUGACGUUUAGAUCUUCAAGCAAAUCUGAGAAAAAAGGGAACAAUUUUUC